UGUUUUUCUACUAAAAAAAGGGGAUAACGAACGACCUUCCGCAACGUCACAAAGGAAUCUUUGUAACUGUACGUCAGAUCAGAAGCAAAAAUAAGCCUGCACAUUUUCCCAACCCAUUGAGCAUUGAUCAUUCUCCUUAUUCGUAUCAAGUGGAAAAUAACCUGUCGUUCUGAACGCACGCAAAUCGUGUUCCAUGUUACCAACAUUCCUUCUCUGAGUAAGUGCAAAAUCGAAUAAAAAUAGUCGGAUCGAAGGAACUUGCUCCUUCUCCAAGCGAACGUUCUACAGGUGCAAUGACGAAACAUUCUUUACGUUCAUGAUGACCAUAUGACGAACGUACGUACUACGAAUAUGUACGUGUGAGCACAGAUACCACCGGAAGAGUCAAUUUAACGGGUUCUCUACGGUACGUUUAUUUAUAAAGUAAAAUGGAACGGCCCGGUUAAGCCUGUUAAUUGAUCGUAGAAACUUGUCAUGCACACCGUGUGCAUUAUGUAUCUGCAUAACAUGAAUUCGGUUACAAGUACAACGAUGGAAUGCAACGGGUGUCAUCAGACGCGUGAAAGAGCGUGCGUGAAUGACGAGUCUAUGUAUAUUCCAAGGUCUACACCAUGGCAAUGAAGGAGAUAUUUAUUCUUUUACGUGUACUGGAAGAUUUCGCUGUAACUAUGAAAGGAAAAUUAAGUAUUAUAAUACUUUAACAAAUAGUCUUGUUAAAAUUUUUCAAAAUAAGUCAGAAGUACAGAAGUUCCUGAAUAACAAACUCUGAUUACUGAAUGAAAUUUACAUCAACAUUUCUUUGCGCGUGUAAAGAGCAAUAUUUAUUCAAAGCAUGACAAAGGUGAAUACGGAAGAAAGGUAUGUCUGAACAAUUAUUCUGUCCACGUGUUCGGUAAUUCACCGUCUGAAUAUCAUUCGCAUUUUUUGGUAAACUACGAUUACUCUAAUAAUUCUGAAUUCCACAUGCUAAUACAAAGUUUUAGGGACACAAUGCCUAACGAGUAGUAUAUCUGCGUAAUCAAUUAAUCAAACUGCGGCAAGGCUGAAUGAAUUAAUCAGGAAUGGUUUUACUUUUUUUUAUUCUACAUGUACCAUGAAUAAUGUAGCAGCACGGACUUUGGACAGAUCUUUGCUCUUAUGUUACUUGAAAUAUGAUAAAUAAAUAAUUGUGCAGAAGAAGGAAGUGUCGGACGAAGAAAUCUCAGACGACAAGAGUUGUACCGUUAUUCAUUGCGCGUGGGAACGCAGAUAAAGAUUGUAUAAUCUCUUAGAACAGUGAACGGAGGUUUUUUAAUUAACGUUAAGUUGGUCACUGGGUGAGUACCUAUUGUGCAUCGCCGAUUCUUGACGAUAAAUCAUUACUAUUAAAUUCACAAACACGUCGAUAACCUAUUGUUAGGGAGUAUGUGUAACAUAGGCUCCCGAACCCUUGGAUUUCGUGGCUAAAAAGGGAGUUAAUUCGUGUACAGGAAGGGAGAAGAACUUUUAGGGUGAUGGUGGACAACACGAUGCUUCGGUUUACAAGCACAUGAGUCACAGGAAGUGCUGGCAGUUCGCGAUAAAGAAAUUAUUCGAAAUUAUCAUGUGUCGUCUAGGCGGGAUGUGAAUCGUUGAUCGUUAUGCUUCUGGUGAUCUUUUAGUCAAACAGAACAAAAGAGCAAGCUGCGAGAAAUCAACCGAGAAAACAAGUACAGAUUUCACUGACGUUAGAUAAACGCUAAUUGCUUUCUAAUUGAGCAAUCUGUUAUUAAUCAAUAGUGUUAUUAAUCAUGAUACGAGGUAAGACGCAUUAUGUAGUCUUUCAAAAUAACAGAGUCGAGAUAAAACACUGGAGAAAGUUUCAAAAAAUAAAAGUAAAUAUUGGUCAAUGAACCAUAACUUUGACCGUACCCAUCAACUUAUAUCUAAUCACCAAUGUCCGUGGUUGUUCAAUGAGAUAGAGUAAAAAUAUCAGGAGAUUGCUUAUCGUCGUACAAAUUCAAUGAUUAGAUAAAUGGUGCAUUCGAAACUUUCAAGAAAUGAACCUGUUACUGUGUGCCCUAACGCUUCAACAUUAUUGACCCAAGCCACGAUAUCGGGUGAGCUGCUAUUUAUUCGCGCAAAGCGUGCAAUUUGGAAGGUGAAGCUAAUCAAUUGGAAUUAAAAUUAGAUGAUCUAAACUAUAGAAACUCGUCAUUAUCACGUCCCAACCGAAUGAAUAAACCUUUAAUGGAUUUUAAAUUGCGCCAUGCGAAAAUGCGCUCGAAACUUAUUCACCGGAUAAUCGCAAAGUCGAACACGGUACGAUUUUUCUUACGUAAUCAAAGACAUAACGGUAGAAGUGAAAGCCUAGAUCAAACGCGAAAUUCUACGGGAGCAACCGUAUCAUUUUUUGUAUUUCAUGGCACACCUGGACGGUAUCAUUUCUUUCGUUAGAUAACAUGGAAAAUGACAAGUUUCAAUAAUGCAAUUGCAAAUCUGCAAUUUCCUCUGAUUUCAAAAUUAAAUCAAACUAUAAUUUAAGAUUUUGUAUCUUUUUUUUUUUCACAGAUAUUGAUCACUAAAAAUGAGGAAGUCAGUUCUCAAAGCUAACGUCUGUGUUUGCUUUCUGUCGUUUCUUAGAAACAGGUGAACAGAUGGGUCAAUUUUGUUUACUAAACUAGACUAAAUAUGAAGGAUAAUAGAAAAAUAAUAAGCUUUCUAACUAACGGGCUCGACAAGCCUCCUCCUUGGUCUUUUCAGGGAUAAUACUUUGAAACUAAUAUAACCACCGUUAAUAUAACGUAAUAUGAUUAGCGAUGGUAAUAUGAUACGUAUGCCAAUCGAUCGAGAUUAUUAAGCACGCAAAUGUUCUUUGAACAUACGCGGAUCGUUGCGGUGUUUUGUCGCGUCCCAUAUACGUGACACCAUUCUGCCAGAUUCAAAGUCCAUACAACAAAGGCUCUUUAUGCAUUCUUCAACAAUGAUAAAUAUUCCAGGACACUUUUUGUCUCGCUGAUAUUUCCUCGAAGAACAAGAGGAUGAUUUAAUCUUUGUUUCUGUUAUAAUGCAACUGCGAGCUUAAAUCAUUCUCUGUUUUGUACAACUAUUUUUGAAUAGAGUACGAGGGUUAAUGCGCUAUUCGUAGCGCAAACGUGUGUUUAAAUUGGGCUCUGUAGUUGUAUCCGAUCCAAAACGAUCCAUUUUCGUUGUUUAAGAAAGUUUUUUAAAUAAUAAAUGAAUCUUACCUAAUUUAAAUUAGAUUCUUACGCAUUGUUAAAUUACUGAGCACGGAAUAUCACUCUCACGAAAGGGGUCCUUUGUUUCAGGAUAAUCCCGAAUGUCAGGCUUUGUUUCAUCGAUAAUUUGAACAAAGAGGAGAAAGCCUUAGGAUCUACCAGCUUGGUGGAAUACCAAACUGGUCACGUCGCAAUCCGACUCAUUUCGCGAUUGUUCUUCAUUUACUGUCUCCACAAUGUCAUUUAUAAUGGUAUAUCUUAUGGACAAUCAAUGACGACAGAAACCUCGAUCAAAGUCCGUGGAAUUGUCAUCUAAUUUCGUUCAGAACAAUAAGUUUCACUUUUCGUAGAUAAAUCCGUAGAUAGAGCACGGAUUUGUUAUUCUUGGAAAUUUCAAUACAGACAAAAUCUAUGGUUUUGUAUAUAAUUAUAACGUAUUAUGAUGAUCAAUAAUAAAAGAGAUUUGUAUCUA
Molecule: non-coding RNA, 3669 nt
Organism: Osmia lignaria (orchard mason bee)
Lineage: Eukaryota; Metazoa; Arthropoda; Insecta; Hymenoptera; Megachilidae
Source: RefSeq, a predicted model, not a curated record